This 258-nucleotide ribosomal RNA is filed under the name uncultured bacterium. Its description in RNAcentral is "partial 16S ribosomal RNA". It matches the Rfam family "Bacterial small subunit ribosomal RNA", at positions 15 to 263 of the family's 1533-position model. The record is from RNAcentral.
GAUCCUGGCCCAGGAUGAACGCUAGCUACAGGCUUAACACAUGCAAGUCGAGGGGCAUCAGUUUGGUUUGCUUGCAAACCAAAGCUGGCGACCGGCGCACGGGUGAGUAACACGUAUCCAACCUGCCUCAUACUCGGGGAUAGCCUUUCGAAAGAAAGAUUAAUAUCCGAUAGCAUAUAUUUCCCGCAUGGGUUUUAUAUUAAAGAAAUUCGGUAUGAGAUGGGGAUGCGUUCCAUUAGUUUGUUGGGGGGGUAACGG